This 430-nucleotide unclassified non-coding RNA is filed under the name soil metagenome. RNAcentral describes it as "partial contains 5.8S ribosomal RNA, internal transcribed spacer 2, and large subunit ribosomal RNA". The stretch from base 1 to 120 matches the Rfam family "5.8S ribosomal RNA", at positions 35 to 154 of the family's 154-position model. The record is from RNAcentral.
GAUGAAGAACGUAGCGAAAUGCGAUACGUAAUGUGAAUUGCAGAAUUCAGUGAAUCAUCGAAUCUUUGAACGCAUAUUGCGCUCUCUGGUAUUCCGGAGAGCAUGCUUGUUUGAGUAUCAGUAAACACCUCAACUCCCUUUUCUUUUUUGAAAUUGGAGCUGGACUUGAGUGAUCCCAACGCUUUCUUCCAAGAAAGUGGCGGGUUGCUUGAAAUACAGGUGCAGCUGAACUUUUCUCUGAGCUAUAAGCAUAUCUAUUUAGUCUGCCUAAAAAACAGAUUAUUACCUUUGCUGCAGCUAACAUAAAGGAGACUAGUUCUUGUGCUGACUGAUGCAGGAUUCACAGAGACAGCUUCGGCUGACUUUGUAAACUCGAUCUCAAAUCAAGUAAGACUACCCGCUGAACUUAAGCAUAUCAAUAAGCGGAGGA